UUGACGACGCUGGCGGCGUGCCUAACACAUGCAAGUCRAACGGUAACAGCGGACUUCGGUCCGCUGACGAGUGGCGCACGGGUGAGUAACGCGUGGAGUUACCUGCCCAUCAGUGGGGAACAACUCCGGGAAACSGGAGCUAAUACCGCAUACGACCUUCGGGUGAAAGAGGGGGAUCUUCGGACCUCUCGCUGAUGGAUGGUUCCGCGUCCGAUUAGUUAGUUGGUAAGGUAAUGGCUUACCAAGACGAUGAUCGGUAGCUGGUCUGAGAGGAUGAUCAGCCACACUGGAACUGAGACACGGUCCAGACUCCUACGGGAGGCAGCAGUGGGGAAUUUUGCACAAUGGGCGAAAGCCUGAUGCAGCGACGCCGCGUGCGGGAAGAAGGCCUUCGGGUUGUAAACCGCUUUCAACAGGGAAGAAGGAAUGAGGGCCAAUACCCCUCUGCCUUGACGGUACCUGUAGAAGAAGCCCCGGCUAAUUUCGUGCCAGCAGCCGCGGUAAUACGAAAGGGGCAAGCGUUGUUCGGAUUUACUGGGCGUAAAGAGAUCGUAGGUGGCUUGUUAAGUCGGAUGUGAAAUCCCGGGGCUCAACCCCGGAACUGCAUUCGAUACUGGCAGGCUUGAGUUCGGGAGGGGGAAGCGGAAUUCCGUGUGUAGCAGUGAAAUGCGUAGAUAUACGGAGGAACACCUGAGGCGAAGGCGGCUUCCUGGACCGAUACUGACACUGAGGAUCGAAAGCGUGGGUAGCAAACAGGAUUAGAUACCCUGGUAGUCCACGCCCUAAACGAUGUCUACUAGCCGUUGCGGGUAUCGACCCCUGCAGUGGCGCAGCUAACGCGAUAAGUAGACCGCCUGGGGAGUACGGCCGCAUUCUA
This 877-nucleotide ribosomal RNA is filed under the name uncultured Zetaproteobacteria bacterium. RNAcentral's name for it is "bacterial SSU rRNA". It matches the Rfam family "Bacterial small subunit ribosomal RNA", at positions 26 to 896 of the family's 1533-position model. Lineage: Bacteria; Pseudomonadati; Pseudomonadota; Candidatius Mariprofundia. The record is from RNAcentral.